RNAcentral lists this ribosomal RNA (215 nucleotides) under uncultured bacterium. RNAcentral describes it as "partial 16S ribosomal RNA". It matches the Rfam family "Bacterial small subunit ribosomal RNA", at positions 1288 to 1500 of the family's 1533-position model. The record is from RNAcentral.
UCAGUUCGGAUUGUAGGCUGAAACUCGCCUACAUGAAGCUGGAGUUACUAGUAAUCGCAGAUCAGAAUGCUGCGGUGAAUGCGUUCCCGGGUCUUGUACACACCGCCCGUCACACCACGGAAGUUGGGGGCGCCCGAAGCCACUUAGCUAACCCUUUUGGGAAGCGAGUGUCGAAGGUGAAAUCAAUAACUGGGGUGAAGUCGUAACAAGGUAUC